UUGUAUGUCUGUGUAUAUUCAAUGGAAAAUGUUUGAAGCUUCACUCACAGCACAUUCCAUUAGAGAAAGCUACUAAAAUCAUAAGGAAAAUCUAAAAUGCAGUAAGCCAGUCAGCAAGCCAUAAUGGGCAUAUGAAAACAAAGUUUUUUGCCAUGAUUUGUGGACCACAGAAGAUCUGUGUUAUUAGUCUAUUUAAGUUUGGUGUUUGAAAUUAAAAAUGUUCGACAUACUUUUUAUGUUUUUUUUAAAUAUACUGUCUAUAUUUAAAAUUGAGUAUACUGUACUUUAGUGUGUUUGGAAGCAGAUAUCCCCAAAUAAAAGUAUACAGUAGAACCAAAGAAUUUUAUUGAUCAGCUAGAAUUUAGUUUUCAGGUGUAAUAACUGUCAACCUAAAUAACAGAGGCUUUCUAAAAGAAAAUGAUGUUUAUUUGGGAAUAGGGCAUUGUGAAGGCAAUAUGCAUGCCAUAGUAAACUGUGUGUAUUCAGGAAGGUAAAGGAAGACAGGUUUUUAAAGGACAGAUAAAGAUUAUAUAAUUGUCUUGAAAUAAAGUAUUUUGUGGGUAACCUUUGUGAAAGGUUGCAGUUUUUGUAACACAAGCUGCUUUAUUUUCCCAAAAGCUUUCACAGUACAUAGAAAAUAUAUUGGACGUGUAUUAAAUGUGCCAAAUUAGUCAGCAAUAUUACAUUAAAAUAUGAAGAUUUAAAGAGAAUUACAGACAGACAAGGCUGAACAUUGGCUGUCAUCCAACAAAGCUCUUAUAAGAUGGGAAUCACUGCCCGGUUCUUGAGCUCCGACCUGGAGGGAAGAGGAGUCUGGAAGACUUGGCACAGGCCUGAGUGCUUCAUUGUCUUUCUGGUUCCAAGUCCUCCUCAGCUCACUAGGAAGGAGGUGGGGUGGGGGCAGGUAGGCCACUCUGCAUAAGUGCACACAUCUACACUGGCUAGUCUACUUCACAAUUCCCCCACAGGUUAUCCUUAUCUCUACCUGGUUCCAGUUCCAGAUUGGAGGGAUAUAGAAUACCAUCCCCACCCCUCACCUUGCUUGCUCUGGCCUGGAAAACUGUCAUUCCUUUACCACCAGCUGGCAUCUGCCAUAUGCUUCAAGGAACUGAAUAAAGAGGAAGGGGAAAGAAGAAACUAGAGAAACUGGAAUGCUUCCUAUCUGACCCCCAAGUACAGGGACUGCCUCUUUCCGUAACGGCACAGAACGUCUCCAUCCCUUUGACCUCCACCUCCCCAGAGAUGCCCGAGGAGGACAGCCUUGUUUCUGUGAUCUGUUGUUGAGAACUGCUGCUGAGAAUUCUUCCUUCAGCACCGCCUUAGGCACCAUUGGUUUUUCACUAGGUCCGCUGUAGAAAACAGCCAGGAAUUACUUAGUUGACUACCACCUGAGGUGCUGUUUGGUGUUGGUAAUAAAGAAUAAAGGUG
Molecule: long non-coding RNA, 1428 nt
Filed under: Homo sapiens (human)
Lineage: Eukaryota; Metazoa; Chordata; Mammalia; Primates; Hominidae
Description: non-protein coding lnc-ZBTB7C-10:2
Source: RNAcentral